Long non-coding RNA from Photinus pyralis (common eastern firefly), 370 nucleotides. RefSeq lists it as uncharacterized. NCBI's taxonomy places the organism in Eukaryota, Metazoa, Arthropoda, Insecta, Coleoptera, Lampyridae. The transcript has 3 exons. The record is from RefSeq and is a predicted model, not a curated record.
UAAAUAAAACACGUACAAAUCAUCGGUACUAAUACAGUGAAGAAGCCGUUUUGGUAUCAAUCGCCGAUAUGAAACUGGAUUUGUUGUUCGUUAUCUGCUUGCUGGGCGCUUUGUCAGUGGGAUACGCCGGUGAAGAUAAAUACGUCAAGAUUUAUGUACCGUAUAAAGUGAAGACCAUAAAGCAUACCCAUACCGUGUACAAGACGAUACAUCACAAGGGACAUGAUUCCGGUGGGCAUGGUGGCGUAUCCGACUGGGAUUAAUUAAAAUUUAUAGUAGAAUUUCUUCGUUCUCAGGUCUAAUUUAACGUACUGAUCUCCUCCUAUUAAUCUUCUGAAUGCUGUUCAGUCUGUUAUUUGUUAAGUCUAAG